AUACGUAGGGGGCGAGCGUUAUCCGAAUUCACUGGGCGUAAAGCGCAUGCAGGCGGCCGCACAAGUUGGAUGUGAAAUCUCCCGGCUCAACUGGGAGGGGACGUUCAAAACUGUGCGGCUCGAGGGCGGUAGAGGAAGGUAGAAUUCCCGGUGUAGUGGUGAAAUGCGUAGAUAUCGGGAGGAAUACCCGUGGCGAAGGCGACCUUCUGGACCGUUUCUGACGCUCAGAUGCGAAAGCUAGGGGAGCGAACGGGAUUAGAAACCCCGGUAGUCCUAGCCGUAAACGAUGUCGACUGGGCGUGGGUGGGAUAAAAGCUAUCCGUGCCGAAGCUAACGCGUGAAGUCGACCGCCUGGGGACUACGGCCGCAAGGUUAAA
This 377-nucleotide ribosomal RNA is filed under the name uncultured bacterium. RNAcentral's name for it is "bacterial SSU rRNA". It matches the Rfam family "Bacterial small subunit ribosomal RNA", at positions 523 to 898 of the family's 1533-position model. The record is from RNAcentral.